Long non-coding RNA from Octopus sinensis (East Asian common octopus), 491 nucleotides. RefSeq lists it as uncharacterized. The record is from RefSeq and is a predicted model, not a curated record. The transcript is spliced from 3 exons. Lineage: Eukaryota; Metazoa; Mollusca; Cephalopoda; Octopoda; Octopodidae.
UAAAGUGUGUGUGUGUGUGUGUGUGUGUGUGUGUGUGUGUGUGUGUUGCCAUGGUAUUAUCUUAUUUUGUAUUACUGGUCUGUUUUUGUUUUGUCUGCAAAAUAUGUGACUAAAGUUUGACAGAUGAUAAGUCCUGCAGAUUAAUGAAUGAAAGAGAGAGAGAGAGGUGGGGGUGGAGAGACAGUAGAGAAAAAUUUUGGAGUCUGUCACAAUGUGCGACAUUAUUUAAAAUAGAUACAGGUUCGGAUGUGGCGGGCAGAAAAAACAGUUUGGUUUUGCAGACCACCAUCACUGCCGUGGCUGCCAUCAACCUCCAUCCCCCACAUCUGCCAUCAUCAAUUCAGACCAGCCUCGUCUAACCUGCUGUGACGUAAACCCAAGUGAGAAGUUCCGAAGCUAGCCCCACCCACCACAAAAAAAAAAAGAGGAAAUUAAAAAAAAAAGAAAAGAAAAAUCCCCCCCUCUUCUCUCCUUCCCCCAGUAACAUUAUU